GUUUCAGUGGAUCUUCUGCAUAAAUAUUCCAAAUUUCUUGUUUUCUAGCAUGAUCAACUGUGAUUUCGUUAGCAGGAGGAUUUGUACUAUCACCAUUGGAAUGAAACGAAACUUCCCAUUUUG
Caenorhabditis elegans is the source of this 123-nucleotide small nucleolar RNA. NCBI's taxonomy places the organism in Eukaryota, Metazoa, Nematoda, Chromadorea, Rhabditida, Rhabditidae. The record is from Ensembl.